AUGGGGACUGAGGUUUCCCAGAAGCCGACAACAUCUGCCUUGAAGGCCUCUGGCUUUGGGAGCAACGUGGGCAGGUGGUGCUGCCGCUGCUUCCCCUGCUGCGGGAGCUGCAGGCAGGACGGCGGGGGCUGCGGAGUAGAGCACUGUGACAGCGCCUUCCUGGAGCCUGGGUACCACGUCUGUCCGGAAGAUCUAGGCGAUCUCCACAGAGCUGCCUGGUGGGGCGCAGUCCCCAGAGUGGAGCUCAUCCUCAUGCUCAGGGACCCUGGCUUGGACAGGAGAGACAAGAAGAAGAGGACUGCUCUACAUUUGGCCUGUGCCAAUGGCCAUCCAGAAGUGGUAAAACUCCUGCUGCACAGAAAAUGUCAACUUCACAUCUUGGAUGGGGAAAAGAGGACAGCUCUCAUAAAGGCUGUCCAAUGUCAGGAAGAGGAAUGUGCAACUAUUUUACUAGAACAUGGCACUGAUCCAAAUAUCCCAGAUGUCUAUGGCAACACUACUCUACAUUAUGCCAUCUAUAAUGAGGAUAAAUCAAUGACAAAAAAACUACUUUCUUAUGGUGCAAAUAUUGAAUCAGAAAACAAGGGUGGACUUACACCAUUUUUACUUGCCGUACAUGAACAAAAACAGCAAAUGGUGGAAUUUUUAGUAAAGAAGAAAGCAAAUUUAAAUGCUGUGGACAACUUUAAAAGAACAGCCCUCAUACUUGCUGUACGUUGUGGAUCAGAAAUUAUGGUCAGCAUUCUUCUUCAGCUAAAUAUUGAUGUAUUUUCUCAAGAUAUAUAUGGACGAACAGCAGGGGACUAUGCUGUUUCUAGGCAUUAUAUUAAGUAAGUGUUUACAUUGAAAGGCUAUUAACACUAAAAUGUUAAGGUUUACAAUACUUAUAAGUAUCAAA
This 898-nucleotide long non-coding RNA is filed under the name Rhinopithecus bieti (black snub-nosed monkey). RNAcentral describes it as "lncRNA (ENSRBIG00000045608.1)". Lineage: Eukaryota; Metazoa; Chordata; Mammalia; Primates; Cercopithecidae. The record is from RNAcentral.